UGCAGUCGAACGGUAGCACAGAGAGCUUGCUCUCGGGUGACGAGUGGCGGACGGGUGAGUAAUGUCUGGGAAACUGCCUGAUGGAGGGGGAUAACUACUGGAAACGGUAGCUAAUACCGCAUAACGUCGCAAGACCAAAGAGGGGGACCUUCGGGCCUCUUGCCAUCAGAUGUGCCCAGAUGGGAUUAGCUAGUAGGUGGGGUAACGGCUCACCUAGGCGACGAUCCCUAGCUGGUCUGAGAGGAUGACCAGCCACACUGGAACUGAGACACGGUCCAGACUCCUACGGGAGGCAGCAGUGGGGAAUAUUGCACAAUGGGCGCAAGCCUGAUGCAGCCAUGCCGCGUGUAUGAAGAAGGCCUUCGGGUUGUAAAGUACUUUCAGCGGGGAGGAAGGUGUUGUGGUUAAUAACCACAGCAAUUGACGUUACCCGCAGAAGAAGCACCGGCUAACUCCGUGCCAGCAGCCGCGGUAAUACGGAGGGUGCAAGCGUUAAUCGGAAUUACUGGGCGUAAAGCGCACGCAGGCGGUCUGUCAAGUCGGAUGUGAAAUCCCCGGGCUCAACCUGGGAACUGCAU
This 578-nucleotide ribosomal RNA is filed under the name Enterobacter cloacae subsp. dissolvens. RNAcentral's name for it is "bacterial SSU rRNA". It matches the Rfam family "Bacterial small subunit ribosomal RNA", at positions 56 to 626 of the family's 1533-position model. The record is from RNAcentral. Lineage: Bacteria; Pseudomonadati; Pseudomonadota; Gammaproteobacteria; Enterobacterales; Enterobacteriaceae.